AAAUUGAAGAGUUUGAUCAUGGCUCAGAUUGAACGCUGGCGGCAGGCCUAACACAUGCAAGUCGAACGGUAACAGGAAGCAGCUUGCUGCUUCGCUGACGAGUGGCGGACGGGUGAGUAAUGUCUGGGAAACUGCCUGAUGGAGGGGGAUAACUACUGGAAACGGUGGCUAAUACCGCAUCACGUCGCAAGACCAACGAGGGGGACCUUCGCGCCUCUUGCCAUCAGAUGUGCCCAGAUGGGAGUAGCUUGUUGGUGAGGUAACGGCUCACCCAGGCGACGAUCCCUAGCUGCACUGAGAGGAUGACCAGCCACACUGGAACUGAGACACGGUACAGACACCUACGGG
RNAcentral lists this ribosomal RNA (348 nucleotides) under Salmonella enterica subsp. enterica serovar Schwarzengrund. Its description in RNAcentral is "bacterial SSU rRNA". It matches the Rfam family "Bacterial small subunit ribosomal RNA", at positions 1 to 345 of the family's 1533-position model. Lineage: Bacteria; Pseudomonadati; Pseudomonadota; Gammaproteobacteria; Enterobacterales; Enterobacteriaceae. The record is from RNAcentral.